This 235-nucleotide unclassified non-coding RNA is filed under the name plant metagenome. RNAcentral's name for it is "partial contains small subunit ribosomal RNA, internal transcribed spacer 1, and 5.8S ribosomal RNA". The record is from RNAcentral.
UUUCCGUAGGUGAACCUGCGGAAGGAUCAUUAUCGAAAACAUCCGGGCGAGGGUUGUCGCUGGCCCCUCGGGGCAUGUGCACACCUUCGCCCGUAUCCAACUCACCCUUGUGCACCUCCGCGUGGGCCCCUUCACGGGGGUUGCCGCUUUUACACACACCCUUUAAAAUGACCAUGAAUGUCUGUGCGAUAAAAAGCACCUAGUACAACUUUCAACAACGGAUCUCUUGGCUCUC